RNAcentral lists this ribosomal RNA (259 nucleotides) under uncultured bacterium. Its description in RNAcentral is "partial 16S ribosomal RNA". It matches the Rfam family "Bacterial small subunit ribosomal RNA", at positions 50 to 339 of the family's 1533-position model. The record is from RNAcentral.
AACACAUGCAAGUCGAGCGCCCCGCAAGGGGAGCGGCAGACGGGAGAGUAACACGUGGGAACGUACCCUUCAGUUCGGAACAACCCAGGGAAACUUGGGCUAAUACCGGAUACGUCCGUAAGGAGAAAGAUUUAUCGCUGAAGGAUCGGCCCGCGUCUGAUUAGCUAGUUGGUGAGGUAACGGCUCACCAAGGCGACGAUCAGUAGCUGGUCUGAGAGGAUGAUCAGCCUCAUUGGGACUGAGACACGGCCCAAACUCC